CCGUGAGAGCGGGAGCCCGGAGAAUGGGCACUGAGACAAGGGCCCAGGCCCUACGGGGCGCAGCAGUUGCGAAAACUCCGCAAUGCACGAAAGUGUGACGGGGCUACCCCGAGUGCCGUCCGCUGAGGGCGGCUUUUCCCCGGUGUAAGGAGCCGGGGGAAUAAGGAGAGGGCAAGUCUGGUGUCAGCCGCCGCGGUAAUACCAGCUCUCCGAGUGGUAGGGAUGAUUAUUGGGCUUAAAGCGUCCGUAGCUGGCCUAGCAAGUCUUCCGUUAAAUCCACCGAUUCAAUCGUUGGACUGCGGGAGAUACUGUUGGGCUAGGGGGCGGGAGAAGCCGACGGUAUUCUCGGGGUAGGGGUAAAAUCCUAUAAUCCCGGGAGGACCACCAGUGGCGAAGGCGGUCGGCUAGAACGCGCCCGACGGUGAAGGGCGAA
This 433-nucleotide ribosomal RNA is filed under the name uncultured crenarchaeote. Its description in RNAcentral is "bacterial SSU rRNA". It matches the Rfam family "Archaeal small subunit ribosomal RNA", at positions 274 to 708 of the family's 1478-position model. The record is from RNAcentral. Lineage: Archaea; Thermoproteati; Thermoproteota.